GAAAUCCCUCAAGUGGAAGCUCUCAAACUCAGGGAAACCUAAAUCUGGUGACAGACAUGGCAAUCCUGAGCCAAGCCCAGAAAUUUUAGAUUUGCGAUUUUAGAUUUACGAUUAGUCUUCAAUCCAAAAUUCAAAAUCGAGGGAAGGUGCAGAGACCCGACGGGAGCUACCCUAACGUUAAGCCGAGGGUAAAGGGAGAGUCCAAUUCUUAAAACCUGACUUUGCUAAAGCCAUCAGGUAGCAGUGAAAACUGCGGGAGA
Molecule: non-coding RNA, 260 nt
Filed under: Nostoc sp. pcA
Lineage: Bacteria; Bacillati; Cyanobacteriota; Cyanophyceae; Nostocales; Nostocaceae
Description: partial transfer RNA-Leu
Rfam family: Group I catalytic intron (bases 1-230)
About the family: Group I catalytic introns are large self-splicing ribozymes. They catalyse their own excision from mRNA, tRNA and rRNA precursors in a wide range of organisms. The core secondary structure consists of 9 paired regions (P1-P9).
Source: RNAcentral